UUCUCAUCUUCUUCUUUCUCUUUCUUUGUCUUCUUUCUUCCUCUCUUUCUCGGUUUUUUUCUCUUGUUGAUUAUCCGUGAGACUCAGUGAAGAAAAUCAACUUAUGAUGUUUGUGUAGAUAAUGAAGGUGAUGAUGUGGUGGUGUUAAUUCAAGCAGUUGAUUCAGAGAUACAAGAGACGGUAAAUCAGAUAGAACCAAAUUAGGGUUUUGAGAUUGAGUUCAUGUUGAAAUUGAUAAGUGAUUCGGGUUGUUGUUAGGUAAACAUUAAGAGGGUUGUUGUCUAUUUGAAUUUAUGGAGUUUAUCUGAUAGGGAAUUGAAGGGUUAGAGUUGCUACAGAGGAUGGAGAAAUAAAAGAGGAUUUACUGAAGAACAUGAAGAUUACAAUUUUGAGAUUUGGAUUUGAGGGUGUUAAAUGGAGUUGAGUUUGAUGAGUGAAGCUGUUGAUGGAAUUGGGAUAAUUUUGGUGUUGAUUCAAGUAAUGAUGCAAACUCAGGGAAAGACAGAGAUUAGGGUUUGUGGACUUGAUAAUUCUGGAAUUGAUUUGUGAAAGAAAAAAGAAGAAAUUUCAGUUAGGGUUCUUAAUAAAAUGAGGACUUAGGGUUCAUGGGUUUGAGUUGCAAGUCAGGGAAUUUCGAUUCAGUGGAUGCUGUUACUGGGGUAAGCUUCCACUUGCUUUAAUUUAAAUAUAAGAAGGUUGAAUCAUUGAAUUUUUGAGUUUGUGUAAUUGUUAUUGAUAGUGUGCUUUGAAAUGAAUAUGGAGUAGAAUUGUGGAUGAAGCAGAUUUGUGUUGAAUUACUGUGAACUAGAAUGAAUAGACAAAGUGCAAGGAUGUGGAGGUUAGAGAUGUUGUUGGUGCUGAGUUACUUGAGAUGAAUGUAUGUUCUUAUGAAUUGGGAGAAUGAGAAGAAGAUGAGAUGGGUAUUGCUUUGUUAAAGGUAGUGAAUAUAAAUGGCAGGUGAUGGGGUUAAGUGUCCGUUACAGAGAGAUGGAAUGAGUAUUGCAGGGUUGUUAUUGGAGUCGAGUAAUUGCGGGUAAUGAGUUAGGUGUGGUUAAUCUGAGAUGAUGAUAAUGAAGUGGUAGAAAUUGGAGAUGAGAUUGGUAUUGCAGUUCUGGGUGUGCAUAAAAUGUAUAAUGGGAUCUGGCAGAUGUAGUGAUUGUUUAAAUGUGCGGAAGUGGCACUGUUGUUAGUGUUUAGAUUGUUGAGGUUGCAGGGGGUAUAAGUAUGAGCCGAGUUUGUAUUGUGCAGAGUUGGUUUGUAGUUGGAGUGAACCUACAAUUUUAGUGGAGUUAAAUCUCUCUUGUAGAAAGUUGUUGACUAAAGCUGCAAUUGCAGUUACUCGAUAUUAACAACGAUUAAUUCAAAGGAUGAACCGGUGGAUCGUGGAUCUCGAGGUAGGCGUGGCUUGUCAUCAAAAGAGGUGGGAAUACUUUUAACUCUUUUGAAACCAUUGUUGUUUCUUUUGCAAAAGUUUAUGUUUUACAAACUAAUGCUUUAUCUGUUUGUGCAAUCCAUGCAUUGUUCAGCUUGUAUUAUGAGUGUUCUGUUGGUUCUUUGUAAUCUUUCCAUGGUUUGGAAAGGACUUGUAAUGUUUUGUUUUCGUCAUGAAUUGUUAUGGGAAAUAAGAAUUUCCACCUGUGG
Molecule: long non-coding RNA, 1641 nt
Organism: Papaver somniferum (opium poppy)
Lineage: Eukaryota; Viridiplantae; Streptophyta; Magnoliopsida; Ranunculales; Papaveraceae
Exons: 2
Source: RefSeq, a predicted model, not a curated record